This 75-nucleotide transfer RNA is filed under the name Candidatus Nealsonbacteria bacterium CG_4_10_14_0_8_um_filter_37_14. Its description in RNAcentral is "tRNA-Ala". It matches the Rfam family "tRNA". From Rfam's summary of the family: Transfer RNA (tRNA) molecules are approximately 80 nucleotides in length. Their secondary structure includes four short double-helical elements and three loops (D, anti-codon, and T loops). The record is from RNAcentral. Lineage: Bacteria; Candidatus Nealsoniibacteriota. RNAcentral also lists the same sequence under 3 other names.
GGGCCCAUAGCUUAGAGGAAAAGCGUUAGUAUGGCAUACUAAAGAUCGCGAGUUCGAGUCUCGCUGGGUCCACAA